This is a long non-coding RNA of Daphnia carinata, 942 nucleotides long. RefSeq lists it as uncharacterized. The transcript is spliced from 6 exons. The record is from RefSeq and is a predicted model, not a curated record. Lineage: Eukaryota; Metazoa; Arthropoda; Branchiopoda; Diplostraca; Daphniidae.
GGGGGAUAGCAACAGGGGCGUUUUCCUUAAAAAUAACUAAAAAACGAAGAAAAGUCCUAUCGCACAGGUCCCUCCCCACCCUCUCCUCCUUCUGUCCUCCAUCUCCUCUAGUCUAGGAGUUUCAAGUCAAAACACACGUUCAGAGUGAACGGUUACCCCACCGGUCUGUACGGCGUGGGGGUAUAAAUGGCCGACCCUUCUCUCUGAUCCAGCACAGUCAACCUUCCGACAUUGUUUAGAAUCGGUCAGUCAACUCAUUCGCUUCUGUCUCACCUCUAACUUGUUUGAUCAUCAACGGAAGCUAUUUACUUCGAUCAUCUCUAAAUUAUGAUUUACUAGUACAAAGCAUUCGUGUUAAUGAAGAACUUCCCUCUCUCAAGCUACGACUUGCUGCUGCUACUUAACGCCAAUUUAAAUAAAAACCUACAAUCCCUCCUGGGCAGCCGUCUGGGAAACUCAGGCAAUCAAAAAGAAUUAAGGGUUUUGACGUUGCUUCACUACGUUCCUUGAGUUUUGCCAAACACGAAAAUGGUGCAAGAAUCCGGAUCCAAAUCUCAGAUGAAUGUCAACACGGCCGUCUCACGCAAAGACACUGGAUACGUGAGCGAUCCAGCGGCUGGCAGGUCUUACAGCCAAAUUGGCGUUAAGCAGCACUACGACUCGUCGAAAAGUUAUUCGUCGGGUCAGAAGAUGGACUCCCAAAAGUACGGAGCAUGGGGCCCGGUCUACAAGAACAAAGACAAUUUCGCCAGCAUGCACCUCUUUUAAAAUUCCACACUGAAAAAGUGCAAACCCCUUUGUUUACUCAUAUUCGUAAUUUAAAAAACAUUGUAGUAUUCACACAACUUCACACAAAGCAGAAGUUUACAUCAUUUGGGGAAUUUUUAAUUUUCUUUGCAUUCUUUGAAAGGUUAAAUAAACAUAAAAGAAUUGUUUUAAUAA